GUCCUCCUACGGGGGGCAGCAGUGGGGAAUAUUGGGCAAUGGGCGCAAGCCUGACCCAGCAACGCCGCGUGAAGGAAGAAGGCUUUCGGGUUGUAAACUUCUUUUAAGAGGGAAGAGCAGAAGACGGUACCUCUUGAAUAAGCUCCGACUAACUACGUGCCAGCAGCCGCGGUAAUACGUAGGGAGCGCGCGUUGUCCUGAUUUACUGGGUGUAAAGGGCGUGCAGCCGGGAGUACGAGUCAGAUGUGAAAUCCCGCGGCUCAACAG
RNAcentral lists this ribosomal RNA (267 nucleotides) under uncultured bacterium. Its description in RNAcentral is "partial 16S ribosomal RNA". It matches the Rfam family "Bacterial small subunit ribosomal RNA", at positions 333 to 615 of the family's 1533-position model. The record is from RNAcentral.